CCUAUCAAACUUUACUUUAGUUUAACUGGGGCAGUUAAUUAAUAAAAAUUUUAAUAAAGAUUAAGUACUAAAUAGANNNCCCAACANUAGUUGAUUACANUGAACAAGUUACUGUAGGGAUAACAGCGUAAUAUAUAUCUAAAGUUCUUAUUUUGAUAUAAGUUUGCGACCUCGAUGUUGAAUUNAUAUUACUUUCAAGCGCAAGAGCCUGAAAAGUNGGUCUGUUCGACCCCUAAAUAUAUACAUGAUUUGAGUUCAAAUCGGUGUAAACCAGAUUGGUUUCUAUCUAUUNUUAUUUGUGUCUUAGUACGAAAGGACCUGAAACAAUAUUAUAUAAUNAUUUAUAUGGCAGAAAAAUGCUUUAGAUUUAGGAUCUAAUUAUAAUAGGUUAUUAUACUCUAUUUAACUUGCCUAAUCUCUGUUAUUAGAAUCCUUAUCGCAGUAGCUUUUUAUACCCUCCUAGAGCGAAAAAUUCUAAGCUACAUC
Molecule: ribosomal RNA, 486 nt
Filed under: Sancus acoreensis
Lineage: Eukaryota; Metazoa; Arthropoda; Arachnida; Araneae; Tetragnathidae
Description: partial 16S ribosomal RNA
Rfam family: Bacterial large subunit ribosomal RNA (bases 1-287)
Source: RNAcentral